GAGAAUUCCUAGUGAGGUUCUUUUUGCAUACACCAGCCACAUUUUCUUCCUGGAUGUAUCUAUUAACCUGGUUAUGCUUUUCCACAGUUGGCAAAAUAAUUCCAUUCUUUCCCUGAGAUGCAGAGGAGACCAGGACCUGCUGGCUGUGGCAUUAGCCUCCAGAUUACCUGUUCAAUGUCCAGCAGGGGGGAAUGUGUGUGAAGCGCAUCCAACGCAGUAUGUGUCAAGAUGGCGUUCCUUCUGUCUCUCAAACUCCCAAUGGCUUUGGAUGAAGUUUGACCUCUGUUUAAUGCCCCAAGAACUUCUAUUUGCAUGGCGAUUAAAAAAACCCUUCUUGAUGGUUUGCAUCAGCUGCUUAUGGUGUGAAGAAAUGGUUUUAUAUGUCCAUGAUGAUCUUUUGAAGAUGAUCAUCAGUUAGCCACUGCUGUCUCAAAGCCCACCAAACCCAGUAGGAAUCUUUUCACUGCAUCCAAGUGAAGAACUGGAACAUCUAAAGCUUUAGGUGUUAAGAGGAGAUACUAUGGAAGUUCAGCUCACCCUUAGGAAAAGCCAAGGUGGAAAAGCAGGCUCGUGAAUUGCACCAUAUGUAUGAGUUACUCUGCUAGGAUGCUCCCAACAGCUUUGUAACUUACACUGGGAACAAAGUGCUGCCAUGGGCUGUGCAUGGCCCAGGCUCCUCAGUCUGCUCUGGCUUCUCCAUUUCAGUCUCUACUAUUCCCUGAAGGAGAAACUUUUAAAACUCAUUAUAUGGUUGCUCUGUUCCAAUGAUAUUCCUAGACUUGUAUUAUACUGGCUGUUGGUUUUAUAAAUGGACAGAGCCAAAAUCUUGUCUAUGUGUCAUCCAAUUGUCUAAGUAAUCUUGGACUUUAAAAUCAAAGAUGUCAAGGGACUUGUCUUUGACAAGCAUGCUGAAUUUGCAUUUGGCUUUCAUUAGCCCUCCUUCUUGUAGUUAUUAUUAUGGCAUGAAUCUGCCUGUUUAACAGUUUAUAGUUGCUUGCUGACUACAACACCAGAAAAACUGGAAUUAGUGUGCAUUUGUUUUCCAGAAUUGUUUU
This 1055-nucleotide long non-coding RNA is filed under the name Coturnix japonica (Japanese quail). RNAcentral's name for it is "lncRNA (ENSCJPG00005001599.1)". The record is from RNAcentral. Lineage: Eukaryota; Metazoa; Chordata; Aves; Galliformes; Phasianidae.